RNAcentral lists this long non-coding RNA (2130 nucleotides) under Pan troglodytes (chimpanzee). RNAcentral describes it as "long non-coding RNA NONPTRT005073". Lineage: Eukaryota; Metazoa; Chordata; Mammalia; Primates; Hominidae. The record is from RNAcentral.
GAAUAAGACUGAUUUUAUGGGAAAAUUAAGCAAAUGCUCCAGUUUGAGAAACCUGGAUCUGCGAUCUGUUUGUGGUACCAGCAUCAAGAUGAUUUAUGGUAAUAAGAUAUAAAACCAAGGAAAAUAACCUAAAGUCUGAAAAAGACCAGAAUCGAAGUUUCCUGAUUCAUAUUUUAAUGUUUUGAAAUUUAUACUCCAGGCUGGGUGCAGUGGCUUGUGCCUGUAAUCCCAGCACUUUGGGAGGCCGAGGCGGCCGGAUUGCCUGAAGUCAGAAGUUCAAGACCAGCCUGACCAACACGGUGAAACCCUGUCUCUACUUAAAAAUACGAAAGAGCUGGGCAUGGAGGUGGUGCGCGCCUGUAACCCUAGCUACUCGGGAGGCUGAGGCCUAAGAAUCUCUUGAACCCAGGAGGCAGAGGUUGUAGUGAGCCGGGAUCACGCCACUGCACUCUAGCCUGGGCGACAGAGAGAGAGACUGUCUUAAAAAAAAAAAAAAAAAAAAAGGAAAAGAAAAAAAUUUAUACGCCAAAAAAGAUAUUCUGAGAUAACCUGUAGUUACCACUAACUUUGUGACAAAAUUAUAAAAAUCCACAGCCAUCUAUGAAUCUGUAGGCAGACCUGAAGUUUGAACAACUGGUGAAGACAUCUGAUUUUCUUUAUAGCCAAGUUAGGAUAACAAAAUGCAAACAAGUCAUUAAUAUUUACUAUAUGCAAGAUACAGAAAGAUGAAGGAAGGAGUAAGAAGUUAUCCUUCGUGGAACUAUUCAAAGCAAAAAUGCAAAAUACCAGGGAAAGCUUUGAAGAACCAAGAUUUGAGCAGGUUCUUAGAAUAUAGAUUGGAUUGGAUUUGAUUUCAAGAAAGAUGAACAUGUAAAGCAGAAGUGGGAAGCCAAAAACUUUUUUCCAAAUUAGAAUUAAGCAUUCUUUCAAUGAACACUUGGAAAUCAAGGUAGAAAAAUAUCCCUAGGGCCUAGCUGAGGAGUCUGUAUGUUGUUGGGUUUUGAUAGUAACCAGUCCAAGAUUUUAUUAUUAGACAUGGGUUUCUGAAUAGACAGGCAUUUCUGAACAGACAUGACAGGAUCAAAACAAUGUUUGAGCAAACUGCCCUUCAUCUACUGUGGAUAUGUUGGGGGAUGAUGGAAUAUAGUGAAAGAUAACGGGUGCUCAUACAGCAGUCUAGACUUAAGGUGAUUCAACUACUAUAUAUUAAACUAGAUUAUCUUUUAUUUUUUAAUUUUGAAAUCUGGAUGCUCAAGCUCUGCCUGCACAACCACAUGAGGAAGAAGGAACAAUGACAACAAAAAUAACACUAAAUUUAAAUUUAAGAGUACUACUUUUAGGAAAUAGACAAACCAUUAUUUGGGUACAACUAAAGGCAACUGGCAUGGACUCAAAUAUUUUGGGGAAGAAAAAGACUAAAAGAGAUCUAAGGAAGAAAAUGCGAACCUUGAUAGUUUGAAAUAGUUAAAAAGACAGUGUAGAAACUGCUUAGGCAGUUUGAUUAUGGACUAUUAGAUGAUACUUGGGUCUGAUAAUGGUAUAAGGAGAAUGAAGUAUUUAGGGAUCCAAUAUUACGCCUGCAGCUUUUUUCAAAUAGUUCAUGGGGGAGGGGGAUGUGUAAGUGGUUAACUGAAGUCUAACUAGAUAGGUUUGUUGUAAGCUUAGGAUGUUUACAGUUCUUCAUGUUAAGUUGAGUGUGAUGGGAAGGGAAAGAAUACUGAUCUUUAAAUUUUUGUCCUUAGUUAAGUUCUGUAUUUAGUGAAUUAAUUGCAUCCUAAAAAGUCAAACUUGAAAAGCACAUUUUAAAUGGCAAAUCUAUUUUUUACAUGUUUGUGAAGUUUUUAUUUUUUAGUAAACAGACCAUCAGAAGAGAACAAUGAUACAGAGCAGGGGUCAGCAGAUGGAUUUUGUAAAGCAUCAACUUGUAAAUAUUUUCAAGUUUAUUAGCUGUAUGGCUCUGGUUUCUGUUCCCUGUUCCAAAUGUUAAAGUCUACUGUUGUAUUCUAAAAGCAGCCAUGGACUGAAUGUAGCUGUGUUCCAAUAAAACUUACACAAAAGCAGGCAGUGGGCCAUAAUUUGCAACACCUGAUUCACAGCAUAAUUUUGUCACAAACUGAAAGUGUUCCUCAA